Molecule: ribosomal RNA, 700 nt
Filed under: uncultured Bacteroidota bacterium
Lineage: Bacteria; Pseudomonadati; Bacteroidota
Description: bacterial SSU rRNA
Rfam family: Bacterial small subunit ribosomal RNA
Source: RNAcentral
UGCAAGCCGAGCGGUAUUGUUUCUUCGGAAAUGAGAGAGCGGCGUACGGGUGCGGAACACGUGUGCAACCUGCCUUUAUCUGGGGGAUAGCCUUUCGAAAGGAAGAUUAAUACUCCAUAACAUAUUGAACGGCAUCGUUUGAUAUUGAAAGCUUCGGCGGAUAGAGAUGGGCACGCGCAAGAUUAGCUAGUUGGUGAGGUAACGGCUCACCAAGGCGAUGAUCUUUAGGGGGCCUGAGAGGGUGAUCCCCCACACUGGUACUGAGACACGGACCAGACUCCUACGGGAGGCAGCAGUGAGGAAUAUUGGUCAAUGGGUGCAAGCCUGAACCAGCCAUCCCGCGUGAAGGACGACUGCCCUAUGGGUUGUAAACUUCUUUUGUAUAGGGAUAAACCUACUCUCGUGAGGGUAGCUGAAGGUACUAUACGAAUAAGCACCGGCUAACUCCGUGCCAGCAGCCGCGGUAAUACGGAGGGUGCAAGCGUUAUCCGGAUUUAUUGGGUUUAAAGGGUCCGUAGGCGGACUUAUAAGUCAGUGGUGAAAGCCUGUCGCUUAACGAUAGAACUGCCAUUGAUACUGUAAGUCUUGAGUAUAUUUGAGGUAGCUGGAAUAAGUAGUGUAGCGGUGAAAUGCAUAGAUAUUACUUAGAACACCAAUUGCGAAGGCAGGUUACCAAGAUAUAACUGACGCUGAGGGACGA